GACACUAUGGCCGAGUGGUUAAGGCGUGUGACUAGAAGUCAAAUAGCACAGGUUCAAGUCCUGUUGGUGUCG
RNAcentral lists this transfer RNA (72 nucleotides) under Exophiala dermatitidis NIH/UT8656. RNAcentral describes it as "tRNA-Ser (AGA) (tRNA-Ser-AGA-1-1)". It matches the Rfam family "tRNA". From Rfam's summary of the family: Transfer RNA (tRNA) molecules are approximately 80 nucleotides in length. The record is from RNAcentral. Lineage: Eukaryota; Fungi; Ascomycota; Eurotiomycetes; Chaetothyriales; Herpotrichiellaceae.